Molecule: ribosomal RNA, 538 nt
Filed under: uncultured bacterium
Lineage: Bacteria
Description: bacterial SSU rRNA
Rfam family: Bacterial small subunit ribosomal RNA
Source: RNAcentral
AAUAGAUACCCAGGUAGUCCACGCCGUAAACGGUGGGCACUAGGUGUGGGCGACACUCCACGUCGUCCGUGCCGCAGCUAACGCAUUAAGUGCCCCGCCUGGGGAGUACGGCCGCAAGGCUAAAACUCAAAGGAAUUGACGGGGGCCCACACAAGCGGCGGAGCAUGUGGCUUAAUUCGACGCAACGCGAAGAACCUUACCAAGGCUUGACAUACACCGGAAACGUCCAGAGAUGGGCGCCCCCUUGUGGUCGGUGUACAGGUGGUGCAUGGCUGUCGUCAGCUCGUGUCGUGAGAUGUUGGGUUAAGUCCCGCAACGAGCGCAACCCUUGUCCCGUGUUGCCAGCAGGCCCUUGUGGUGCUGGGGACUCACGGGAGACCGCCGGGGUCAACGUCGGAGGAAGGUGGGGACGACGUCGAAGUCAGUCAUGCCCCUUAUGUCUUGGGCUGCACACGUGCUACAAUGGCCGGUACAAUGAGCUGCGAUACCGCGAGGUGGAGCGAAUCUCGAAAAAGCCGGUCUCAGUUCGGAUUGGGGU